This 338-nucleotide long non-coding RNA is filed under the name Ananas comosus (pineapple). Its description in RNAcentral is "long non-coding RNA (ACOM_LNC028494)". Lineage: Eukaryota; Viridiplantae; Streptophyta; Magnoliopsida; Poales; Bromeliaceae. The record is from RNAcentral.
CUUAACCCCCAAUUUAUACCCAAACACCACUCUUUUGGGGUGGGGUUAGUAAACCCCACCCCAAACCGGGUUAGUGGAGUUUACUAACCCCACUCCCCCUCCCAACUUUAACCCCGCACGCAUCCCGAGCUCUCACCUUUUUCUUCUUUAUCAAUCAUUAACCCCACUCCCCCUUCCAACUUUAACCCCGCACGCAUCCCGAGCUCUCACCUUUUUCUUCUUUAUCAAUCAUUAUCUUCUUAUCCCACCUACUCCAACCAAACACUUUUUUUCACUAUCCUAGACUAACUCCAACCUCCAACCAAACACAAAAAAAUUUUAACACCAUUUUAACCCUG